RNAcentral lists this long non-coding RNA (364 nucleotides) under Nicotiana benthamiana. RNAcentral describes it as "long non-coding RNA (NBEN_LNC012070)". The record is from RNAcentral. Lineage: Eukaryota; Viridiplantae; Streptophyta; Magnoliopsida; Solanales; Solanaceae.
AAAGAGCAUUCAUAAUAUCAUCGUCUAUUCUAUCACCAACUGCUACAUCAUCUAGAAAAUCAAUAUCGCUAAAUUGAAAACAAGGGUGAUCACUAUCAAGGAUUCAGAAGGGUUCAUUUGGAUUUAUAGGUUGGCUACUACUUUGAACUUGCUUAUCUUUUCUAGGCCGGGGAGCCGGGGGAGGGAGGGGUAGUAUUUUGGCGACUGCUUUCACCGAUUUUAUAUUUUCCUUUACCGAACAUAUUUUUCAACGAAAAUGCCAUAAUAAUGAUAAUUAAGCAAAAUAACAACACACAAAAAUAUUCUUAGCACGUAAGAGUUGAAACGAGUUUACCGGAUUGACGAACAACUUCUUGAAAAUUGA